RNAcentral lists this ribosomal RNA (1076 nucleotides) under human gut metagenome. Its description in RNAcentral is "bacterial SSU rRNA". It matches the Rfam family "Bacterial small subunit ribosomal RNA", at positions 8 to 1075 of the family's 1533-position model. The record is from RNAcentral.
AGAGUUUGAUCCUGGCUCAGGAUGAACGCUAGCGACAGGCCUAACACAUGCAAGUCGAGGGGCAGCGGAGAGGUAGCAAUACCUUUGCCGGCGACCGGCGCACGGGUGAGUAACACGUAUGCAAUCCACCUGUAACAGGGGGAUAACCCGGAGAAAUCCGGACUAAUACCCCAUAAUAUGGGCUCUCCGCAUGGAGGGUCCAUUAAAGAGAGCAAUUUUGGUUACAGACGAGCAUGCGCUCCAUUAGCCAGUUGGCGGGGUAACGGCCCACCAAAGCGACGAUGGAUAGGGGUUCUGAGAGGAAGGUCCCCCACAUUGGAACUGAGACACGGUCCAAACUCCUACGGGAGGCAGCAGUGAGGAAUAUUGGUCAAUGGUCGGCAGACUGAACCAGCCAAGUCGCGUGAGGGAAGACGGCCCUACGGGUUGUAAACCUCUUUUGUCGGAGAGUAAAGUACGCUACGUGUAGCGUAUUGCAAGUAUCCGAAGAAAAAGCAUCGGCUAACUCCGUGCCAGCAGCCGCGGUAAUACGGAGGAUGCAAGCGUUAUCCGGAUUUAUUGGGUUUAAAGGGUGCGUAGGCGGCACGCCAAGUCAGCGGUGAAAUUUUCGGGCUCAACCCGGACUGUGCCGUUGAAACUGGCGAGCUAGAGUGCACAAGAGGCAGGCGGAAUGCGUGGUGUAGCGGUGAAAUGCAUAGAUAUCACGCAGAACCCCGAUUGCGAAGGCAGCCUGCUAGGGUGCGACAGACGCUGAGGCACGAAAGCGUGGGUAUCGAACAGGAUUAGAUACCCUGGUAGUCCACGCAGUAAACGAUGAAUACUAACUGUUUGCGAUACAAUGUAAGCGGUACAGCGAAAGCGUUAAGUAUUCCACCUGGGGAGUACGCCGGCAACGGUGAAACUCAAAGGAAUUGACGGGGGCCCGCACAAGCGGAGGAACAUGUGGUUUAAUUCGAUGAUACGCGAGGAACCUUACCCGGGCUCAAACGCAGGGGGAAUAUAUAUGAAAGUAUAUAGCUAGCAAUAGUCACCUGCGAGGUGCUGCAUGGUUGUCGUCAGCUCGUGCCGUGAGGUGU